RNAcentral lists this unclassified non-coding RNA (219 nucleotides) under Hevea brasiliensis (rubber tree). Lineage: Eukaryota; Viridiplantae; Streptophyta; Magnoliopsida; Malpighiales; Euphorbiaceae. The record is from RNAcentral.
UUUUUUUUAACCAGAAAGAGAAAAGAAUUAGUUGAGCCUUAUAAUAAUUGAUUGGGAAUUACUUUAAGAGAGCCAAUCAGCCUCCUUCUUUCCAAUAAUGGUUGCUUAAAAUAAUGGCAAAUUAGUAUCUCAAUAAAUGGUCGCAUUCAAUAAUGUUCUCGAUUGUAUUGUAUUAAAAUUUGAACGUAUGUAUAAAAUGCUAUGUUAGACAAAUUGGAG